RNAcentral lists this long non-coding RNA (2702 nucleotides) under Equus caballus (horse). RNAcentral's name for it is "lncRNA (ENSECAG00000039237.3)". Lineage: Eukaryota; Metazoa; Chordata; Mammalia; Perissodactyla; Equidae. The record is from RNAcentral.
GGGCAAGGUCUGGGACUCCUGUCCCAGAGAAGUUGAUCUAAAAAGCGCUUGGUCUCUCCUAAGGAAGAGCUGUUCUUGCUUCUGUGUGUGUGUGUGUGUGUGUGUGUGUGUUGAGAGGAUGGUAUACUGGGAGGUCCUGCUUUGGCCCAGGAGGAACUAGGAGAGAACCAUACAGAGGCUGAAGUCCUUCUUUCCCUUGAUGCUCAUGGGUAACACUCAGGCUGGGAAGAUGUAGAAGCACAUAAUGUCCUCAAGAGGAGGAAGAAAAUUUCCCACCAUUGUUCCACAGGUACAGAGACCUCUCAUUCCUUCCUGGCAGCUGGAAAAACCAAAAGCUUGACCUGAUCCAUAAGUGUAAACAGAGUUGAGAGCAGGUAAGGAAAAAAAUACGUGUAAGGAGAACCAGCAACUAGAGGACAACCAAGGACACCCAGAAGUAGUUCUCAGGAAAACAGAACUUUUAGAAAAGACAGAAGUCAACUUUGACGAAAACAACAAUAGUAGGAGCAAAAAUUCAAGGAGACUUUAUCAUAGCAUAGGAAAGAUUUUUCUAGUACCUCACCCCCCCAAAAAAAAUCAAUAUAUCAACUAAAAAUGAGAAUAAUCACUUGUUGAGAACCAAAUUAGCAGCAUAGGAAAUCAAACAGAAGAAAUAUUUUAAAAUAGAGCAGAAAUAUAAAGUAAUUAAAAUGAAAAUUGUGGCUCUUCUCCCAAAAAUAUAUCUGAAAAUAAAGCUAUAUCUGAAAAUAAAAUUUUGUGUAAACUUUCAAGGAUUUGCAGAUGCACCUAAAGUAUAUCUGUGGACCCUAUGACAUAAAAAUGCAACUGAAGAUGAAAAUCCAGUUUAAAACAUGGUUUUAACUUAAAAAAUAAACGAGUCUGUCUAAGCAUCAGGAUGUCUCUCGUUACCCAAAAGCUCUCUCCAGGCCGUCGGUCUGCUCUUGCCCGGACCCUCAGACCUAUCCCUUCUGACAAUGGCCAAGAGUGGUGGGGACUGCAUUUACUGUUGGGUCCGUUAUAAGUAAGCAGGCUUCCCCACUGGAGAGCGGGGUGUAGAGAAGCUCUCCUGUCUUUUCUGAGAGGCCUUGGAGAACACUGCCCCCCGGCCUUUCGGCUGCUUUCCUGCCUCUCACUCCCCAGUCGUCUCAUCCGACAUGGCAGCACCCACAGUUGCCCCGACAGUUAGAUGAGUCUUUGCGAGGAAGGGCCUGAGUCGCCCUCCCCUCCACGUCACAUCUGUGUCUGCGCAUUCUCCGUAAAUCCUCCAUCAUCUAUACUUCCGCCUUCCAUCGUGGCUUUCCUGCAAGCAGUUUACUGAAGAAUUCUAUAGAGAUUUGUAAUUAAAGUUGCAUCCAUGUGGCACAGCUGAGAUUCAAACUCUGACUUCAAAUCCAGGAAUUUCAGACAUCAGCAAGCAGAUCAGGAGAUACUUUGCCGACAGACAAGGUCUACCAGAAAGACGCUUCUGAAGCCAUUCUUCCUUAUUUCUUCUAAUGCCGUUUCCAGGAGGGGUUCAGUUGAAGAUAACAGAAACCACUCUCGUCAGGAUAAGCAGAAAGGGAUUUAUCACCAGUUCUGAAGACUGGGAAAGCCAAGAUCAAGGUGUCAGGAGAUCCAGUGUCUGAAGAACCUCAAGAAAAAACCAUGCUGUUUCUUUCAAUGAUGAUCUAGUCUGGUGGAAACUGAACUUGCCACCUGAUAUCCCCACCGUCCGUGUAAGCGUUGUCCCUGAAGUACUUGAGGGCUCCCAAGGUGCCUGCCCUCCUCCUGCUUCGCCAGGGGUCCUCGGAACAAGUGCCCUAUUUCGUCUCCAUGGUACGACCUGCGAAACGGAGGUUACACAUUGGUUUUACACGUUGAGAAGGAGUGGUUGUGAAGGAGGAGGAAAAGGAAGGGAGAGCAGGGGGCAGAGAGAAGACAAAGGUUUGGGCCCUGCAGCCUGACGUGGGUCAGCAAGUGCUCUCGCCCAGGCCUCUGCCCCGGGAGCUGGACCCACGGCCAGGAUCUUGUCCCUGCAAGGCCAGCGUGCCCCGAAACCUGGCCUGAGGAGGACAUCAAUGGAAAUUCACACAACAGGAUGGUAAACAUGAUACAAGAAAGACUACAUCUUAGGGUGUGGCUGAACCACCUGAGGGAACGAGCCUGGAUCCUUGAAUCACUGCAUGGGCAGAGAAGAAGGCACUUCCAGACAUGAAUACCCUGUGGCCUCAUAUGUGCAUAAGAGAGAAACCUGUGUUCUGUUCAGCCGCUGAAAUUUGAAGAUUUACUUAUUACAGCAGCAAAAAUUAUUCUAGUGCAUACACUCCCGUACCUACUUUGUGCUUCAGCAGUAACAACCGAUGUGCAAUUUCCCAGGUCAGCUGUGCAGCACUUCCACGUGUUUCUGCACGCUGAUCUCUCUGCUUUUGAUACCUAAUUUUCUCCAGUCUCCUAAUUCUAUCUAGUCUCUCUCCUUUCUGACCCUUUGGCCUUGAUCAGCUUGUAUUAAUCCUUAAAAUCCCAGUUCCUAAGCUUCUGUGAAGCACUGUUAUGACAGUGGGCCCCAUUCCUGCCAUGGACUUCCUGAGUUUGUCCAGAAUUCCACUUUAGCACAUGUCACAAUAUUUUAAAAUUCUCUGUUUAUAAAUAUGUCAACCUUACAACAUAGACAUUUGCCGUGUUUCUACACUUCAAAUCUCUUAGAAGAGUGGUGCUACAUAAGA